This 256-nucleotide small RNA is filed under the name Arabidopsis thaliana (thale cress). RNAcentral's name for it is "ATSL196850". Lineage: Eukaryota; Viridiplantae; Streptophyta; Magnoliopsida; Brassicales; Brassicaceae. The record is from RNAcentral.
UUUUAAUUAAAAAGACUAUAAACACUAUCCUAUAUAACACCUUAUUCACUAUACUAUUGCUAUUCACAUCAUACACUAUUUUCCUUUACGUUCAAAAUACUCUCUUAUCAUCUUACAAAAAAAAACACUCAUCUAUCAAGUACGCAUUCACCGAUCCAUCUCUUUGUACAAGGUUCUUCUCUAUCAAAUACGCAUUCACCGAUCCAUCUCUUUGCAUCAGUAAACUUCUUUUUUAAUACAUAUAUAUAUAUAUAUA